GAGAAAUUAGUUAAAAUAUAACCUAAGAAUGUCAAACUUAAAUAACUUAAUUACAGAGUAUUUUUCA
Molecule: transfer RNA, 67 nt
Filed under: Endeis sp. JZ-2022
Lineage: Eukaryota; Metazoa; Arthropoda; Pycnogonida; Pantopoda; Endeidae
Description: tRNA-Asp
Source: RNAcentral